GAUGAACGCUGGCGGCGUGCCUAAUACAUGCAAGUCGAGCGAACAGACGAGAAGCUUGCUUCUCUGAUGUUAGCGGCGGACGGGUGAGUAACACGUGGAUAACCUACCUAUAAGACUGGGAUAACUUCGGGAAACCGGAGCUAAUCCCGGAUAAUAUUUUGAACCGCAUGGUUCAAAAGUGAAAGUCGGUCUUGCUGUCACUUAUAGAUGGAUCCGCGCUGCAUUAGCUAGUUGGUAAGGUAACGGCUUACCACGGCAACGAUGCAUAGCCGACCUGUGAGGGUGAUCGGCCACACUGGAACUGAGACGCGGUCCAUACUCCUGCGGGAGGGAGCAGUAGGGAAUCUUCCGCAAUGGGCGGAAACCUGACGGAGCAGCGGCGCGUGAGUGAUGAAGACGUUCGGAUCGUAAAACCCUGUUAUUAGGUGAGAACAUAUGUGUAAGUAACUGUGCACAUCUUGACGGUACCGAAUCAGAAAGCACCGGCUAACUACGUG
This 497-nucleotide ribosomal RNA is filed under the name uncultured bacterium. Its description in RNAcentral is "partial 16S ribosomal RNA". It matches the Rfam family "Bacterial small subunit ribosomal RNA", at positions 28 to 507 of the family's 1533-position model. The record is from RNAcentral.